CAAUAGCGUAUAUUUAAGUUGUUGCAGGUAAAAAGCUCGUAGUUGGAUUUCGGGUGGGACGCAGCGGUCUCGCAUUGCGUUUGUACUGCUGCAGCCCUCCUUCUUGCCGGGGGCGGCCUCUCGGACUUCACUGUCUGGGGGUCAGAAUCGGCGAUGUUACUUUGAGUAAAUUAGAGUGUUCAAAGCAAGCUUACGCUCUGAAUAUAAUAGCAUGGGAUAACACGACAGGACUCUGGCCUAUCGUGUUGGUCUAUAGGACCAGAGUAAUGAUUAAGAGGGACAGUCGGGGGCAUUCGUAUUCCGUUGUCAGAGGUGAAAUUCUUGGAUUUACGGAAGACGAACAUCUGCGAAAGCAUUUGCCAAGGAUGUUUUCAUUGA
RNAcentral lists this ribosomal RNA (378 nucleotides) under uncultured eukaryote. RNAcentral describes it as "partial 18S ribosomal RNA". It matches the Rfam family "Eukaryotic small subunit ribosomal RNA", at positions 592 to 976 of the family's 1831-position model. The record is from RNAcentral.